CCGCCCGUCACAUCACGGAAGUGGGCUGUACUAGAAGCAGGUGAGCCAACCGCAAGGAGGCAGCCUUCCAAGGUAUAACUCAUGAUUGGGGUG
This 93-nucleotide ribosomal RNA is filed under the name uncultured bacterium. Its description in RNAcentral is "partial 16S ribosomal RNA". It matches the Rfam family "Bacterial small subunit ribosomal RNA", at positions 1390 to 1482 of the family's 1533-position model. The record is from RNAcentral.